This is a long non-coding RNA of Zophobas morio, 472 nucleotides long. RefSeq lists it as uncharacterized. NCBI's taxonomy places the organism in Eukaryota, Metazoa, Arthropoda, Insecta, Coleoptera, Tenebrionidae. The transcript has 3 exons. The record is from RefSeq and is a predicted model, not a curated record.
AAUUUUAUAAUCUUUAAAAAAAAAACUUUAUACUUAAACUUGUUUCCUUUUAAAUAUUUUUAUAAAUGUUUAUGUUAUUUGAAAAAAAGUACAUUGAAAAACUGUACAUUGCUAUUGUAUUUAUUGGCUAGGAAGGUAAAUAUGUUGACAUGUUGCGUGCAUACUUCUCGCCAUUUUUUUAACAUCUUGAAUUGCUGGGAGGAGAACAAGGAUGUUCGCGUUACAGCCUCUUCGAAACACACACACCACUUAACUAGAAGCUUUAUUGUGGUAUUAACUUAAAUCUUAGAAAUAGUUAACUAUCAGGUCUACACAGAGAGGAAUGUAAAGGAAAAUUUUUAGAAUCUUCUAAUCAAUAGCUAACAACUAGUGAUUGUUUCCAAAUCCUUCAAGAAUUUAGUAGUGAAGACAGUUGCCUCACCCGAAAAUAUAUGAAAAGUCGAGCUUUUUGUAAAAAGUUGCACUUCAACAG